AGAGUUUGAUCAUGGCUCAGAGCGAACGCUGGCGGCAGGCCUAAUACAUGCAAGUCGAGCGGGUGUAGCAAUACACCAGCGGCAGACGGGAGAGUAACACGUGGGAACGUGCCCUUCAGUUCGGAACAACCCAGGGAAACUUGGGCUAAUACCGGAUACGUCCGAAAGGAGAAAGAUUUAUCGCUGAAGGAUCGGCCCGCGUCUGAUUAGCUUGUUGGUGAGGUAACGGCUCACCAAGGCGACGAUCAGUAGCUGGUCUGAGAGGAUGAUCAGCCUCACUGGGACUGAGACACGGCCCAGACUCCUACGGGAGGCAGCAGUAGGGAAUAUUGGACAAUGGGCGCAAGCCUGAUCCAGCCAUGCCGCGUGGGUGAUGAAGGCCCUAGGGUUGUAAAGCCCUUUCGGCGGGGAAGAUAAUGACGGUACCCGCAGAAGAAGCCCCGGCUAACUUCGUGCCAGCAGCCGCGGUAAUACGAAGGGGGCUAGCGUUGCUCGGAAUCACUGGGCGUAAAGCGCACGUAGGCGGCUUUUUAAGUCAGGGGUGAAAUCCUGGAGCUCAACUCCAGAACUGCCUUUGAUACUGAGAAGCUCGAGUCCGGGAGAGGUGAGUGGAACUGCGAGUGUAGAGGUGAAAUUCGUAGAUAUUCGCAAGAACACCAGUGGCGAAGGCGGCUCACUGGCCCGGUACUGACGCUGAGGUGCGAAAGCGUGGGGAGCAAACAGGAUUAGAUACCCCUGUAGUCC
Molecule: ribosomal RNA, 744 nt
Filed under: uncultured bacterium
Lineage: Bacteria
Description: bacterial SSU rRNA
Rfam family: Bacterial small subunit ribosomal RNA
Source: RNAcentral